UGUUUCAUCUUAUCCAGACUCCCCCUCCUCGCGGUCCUUUACCUUGCGGUGCUCCGCCCCACCCUGCCAACCUCCUGCUACACCCCUCGUGCCGCAGGCCACCUCCGACCCCGCUCCGCUCGUCACCACGCGCCGCCGGCCUUCUCCUGCCUCCCAAUCCCAUCUCCUCCUUACCCGCGGCUUUCUUCGCCGUUCACCGAUCCCCUCCACCUACUGGUCGUGACCUCGUACGUGGCAGAGGAUGGGAGGGUGCGGCGCUGGCGUCCGGCUCUAGGAGCUCGAGAGGGCCGAUCUGCGCAUCGGCGACCUCGCGGGAGGCAUGGCUUUGCGUGCUGCGCUCGAGACGAGCGGGCUCGAGUAAGGGGAUUGGAGGGUGGCAUCGGUGGGAUCACGGACGGGGAUGGAGUGGGCCGGUGCCGGCAAGAUCGAGGCCGGGGAUGGAGAGGGCGGUCGGCGAGCUAGCGGCUGAGGAUGCAAGAGGCGGCGCUAAUUCGCUGCUACCCGCACCGCACCACGUCCCUAGCUUCCUCCUCUCUGAUCGAACAAAUUCCGUUUUACAAAGGGAUCUAGCGACUAGAGGGGGAGCUGCCACCGGUGAUGCUGCCGGAGAAGCUGGCAAGGUUCCUCCAGAAGUGCGCCGAAGGAGUUCCAGGACGAGCCCCGGUAUAGCGGCGACCGGUGGUACCUUCACGGCUGGGUUCCAGAUGGUCUACAAUUACAAACUCCGUUGAUUAUUCAUGCUAUGGUCAAUGCUCUAUCGGCAGCCCACUGACCAGGCAACUCUGUCAUUGAGGACCGUGUGGACCGCAGGAGGAUCCCUGAUGCUUUGUUGCUCCUGUGAUCUUUAAUUUGUUGCGUGGUUGUCUACAAACGUACAAUAGCUUCAUUCAAAUUCUUUUUAGAAAUUGUUAGACGAAUUCCUUUGUAGAGCUCAGAGAAAAGAUCCGUAGACAAUAGAAUUAUGUUCAGGUUUGCAAUAAUUCGUUCUAUUUGCUUGCAAGCAACUUUCAUAAGCCAUUCAUUUGUUGGAUGAUGUUUGCAUGUAUUUCUAGCAAGUUAUAAAGUCUGGCGGAAGAUGCUUCAUGUAUUCUUUUGUGUGUCUAUCAGAACAGGCAUGGUGGGAGGGUGAUCCUCCGUUGACUGCUUUUCUUAAUAUUACAGAGGGAGGAUCAAAGUGGAGAUUGGUACUUUCCCUUUCAGCGGCCAAACAAAAGCAACACUUUUUCAUGUGACUUCAGAUGAAACGACCAGAGUGUGUAAAAUCCGGAUCGCUACAAAUAGGUCAAGAUUAACUUCUCCAAGCUCUCAGAAGAGAAGCAAUAAUGUGACUCCCAGGUGCCUCUCCGAGAGAAAAGCUGCAGAUGCUUUCUCAGUGGCAAAACAAAGGGAAGUAAUUGCUACGGACGCCAGCCAGCAGAUGAAAGGAGAAGGAUGAAGAAGUCGUGCUAUUGGAGAGAUCAAGUGAGCUCGAAAGAACUUUAGUGUUCUCAAAAGUAGCUUUAUUCAGUUUGAGUGAGUUUUGUGGCCUAAGUGUUGUAGCUAUUCAUUUUUCCACGCAUUCUGAAUGUUAGUACACACCCAUGUUGGUACAGAACUCCUAUUGUUAUGCCUGUUAUGACAACAACUUUCCCAGAUUUUUGUGCAUAAACAUACAUAUGUGGACUAAAUUCUUUUGUUACUUGCUCAGCCAAUACAUAUGUAUGCUUUUUUUGCGGGUGAAUACAUAUUUAUGCUAAUAUA
Triticum dicoccoides is the source of this 1740-nucleotide long non-coding RNA. RefSeq lists it as uncharacterized. NCBI's taxonomy places the organism in Eukaryota, Viridiplantae, Streptophyta, Magnoliopsida, Poales, Poaceae. The record is from RefSeq and is a predicted model, not a curated record. The transcript is spliced from 4 exons.